Molecule: long non-coding RNA, 1034 nt
Organism: Drosophila grimshawi
Lineage: Eukaryota; Metazoa; Arthropoda; Insecta; Diptera; Drosophilidae
Exons: 3
Source: RefSeq, a predicted model, not a curated record
AUGUAUGUAUGUGUGUGUCGGGUUAAACACUUUACAUUUCACAUUUGACGGACGCAUCGAAGAAAAGUGCAACUCAACUGGCGCUACAAACAAGACAAUGAGUGUGUGUGUGUGAGUUCGUGUGUGCGUUUGUGUAUGUAAGAGGGGCUUGGAUUAGUUAGACGAGGCUGUUAUUUGCAUGCUGUUAAUGCACAUUUAACAUUCCUCUCUCAUGACAGAGAGAAAGAGAGAGAGAGGGCAACAAUUGACCAACUAUCUGCAUCUGUGUGGGAAUGUGAGAGCGUAUGUAGGUAUUUCUGGGUGUGUUUGUGUGAAGCUAAGAACAAAAUAUUAGGAUAUAAAAAUCAAAAGCGUGUGUAGUAAGUAGGCAAUGUAAAUGUUAAGUCAAAACUGUAAAUAAGUAUUGGUAUUGGGCUAGUAGUAAGCGGACAAUUGAGUUAUUGAGAGCGUGUGCGGAACGCACUCAAGGACAAAAAACACACAUGUCUUUUUACUUUGGUUUACUCACAAGGGAGUCUCCACAACACCGACUUAUAGACACACAUCUUAUAAGGGCGUUGAGACUCUGACAAUAUAGAGAACAUGAUACACAAAACAAAACGUGUAUAUUAAUUCAUACAGAGGAGAAAUUAAAAACAGAACAAAAAACAUCGUCAGUGAAAUAUUGAUAGGUUUGUGGAAUACGUGGAAUAUGCUCAGAAAUGCACUAAAUUCCAACAAAUAACAAUCAUGCAAAUACAUAACAUAUAAAUACAUAUACGACACAGAGAGAGAGAGAGCUAGAUGGAGAGACAGAGACAGAGGACGAGCGGAAACUACAAAAGCAAUAAUGAGUGAAUUAGUUACAAAUAAGUAAUAAUAAUACUACUUGAAGUUGAAUACCACACACACAAAUUGAACGUCGAAAGCGUUGUUUAUUUUGUUCACUGCAUACAUUUGUAAAAAUCCAGAUAUACCAAAGAUAAAUAUUUAAUGUAUUUAUAUAUACUACAUACUAUAAAGGUGCAUAUAAUACAAACAGUUCGUUUAUUAUU